CAUGCAAGUCGAGGGGCAGCAUGGUCUUAGCUUGCUAAGGCCGAUGGCGACCGGCGCACGGGUGAGUAACACGUAUCCAACCUGCCGUCUACUCUUGGACAGCCUUCUGAAAGGAAGAUUAAUACAAGAUGGCAUCAUGAGUCCGCAUGUUCACAUGAUUAAAGGUAUUCCGGUAGACGAUGGGGAUGCGUUCCAUUAGAUAGUAGGCGGGGUAACGGCCCACCUAGUCUUCGAUGGAUAGGGGUUCUGAGAGGAAGGUCCCCCACAUUGGAACUGAGACACGGUCCAAACUCCUACGGGAGGCAGCAGUGAGGAAUAUUGGUCAAUGGGCGCAGGCCUGAACCAGCCAAGUAGCGUGAAGGAUGACUGCCCUAUGGGUUGUAAACUUCUUUUAUAAAGGAAUAAAGUCGGGUAUGUAUACCCGUUUGCAUGUACUUUAUGAAUAAGGAUCGGCUAACUCCGUGCCAGCAGCCGCGGUAAUACGGAGGAUCCGAGCGUUAUCCGGAUUUAUUGGGUUUAAAGGGAGCGUAGAUGGAUGUUUAAGUCAGUUGUGAAAGUUUGCGGCUCAACCGUAGAAUUGCAGUUGAUACUGGAUAUCUUGAGUGCAGUUGAGGCAGGCGGAAUUCGUGGUGUAGCGGUGAAAUGCUUAGAUAUCACGAAGAACUCCGAUUGCGAAGGCAGCUUGCUAAACUGUAACUGACGUUCAUGCUCGAAAGUGUGGGUAUCAAACAGGAUUAGAUACCCUGGUAGUCCACACGGUAAACGAUGAAUACUCGCUGUUUGCGAUAUACGGCAAGCGGCCAAGCGAAAGCGUUAAGUAUUCCACCUGGGGAGUACGCCGGCAACGGUGAAACUCAAAGGAAUUGACGGGGGCCCGCACAAGCGGA
RNAcentral lists this ribosomal RNA (887 nucleotides) under uncultured bacterium. Its description in RNAcentral is "bacterial SSU rRNA". It matches the Rfam family "Bacterial small subunit ribosomal RNA", at positions 54 to 933 of the family's 1533-position model. The record is from RNAcentral.